GGCGAUGUGGCGAAAUUGGUAAACGCACGGCAUUCAAAAUGCCGCGUCGAAAGACUUCCCAGUUCGAGUCUGGGCAUCGCUACCA
This 85-nucleotide transfer RNA is filed under the name Candidatus Thiodiazotropha taylori. Its description in RNAcentral is "tRNA-Leu". It matches the Rfam family "tRNA". Rfam says of the family: Transfer RNA (tRNA) molecules are approximately 80 nucleotides in length. Their secondary structure includes four short double-helical elements and three loops (D, anti-codon, and T loops). The record is from RNAcentral. Lineage: Bacteria; Pseudomonadati; Pseudomonadota; Gammaproteobacteria; Chromatiales; Sedimenticolaceae.